Molecule: long non-coding RNA, 529 nt
Organism: Panicum virgatum (switchgrass)
Lineage: Eukaryota; Viridiplantae; Streptophyta; Magnoliopsida; Poales; Poaceae
Exons: 2
Source: RefSeq, a predicted model, not a curated record
UCCAACAAGUGUUGUCGGGCUGUCUGCCCCACGUUGGCGCCGGCGGACCAACCCGUUGGCGGCGGCGGCGGCGGGCCUCCUUGACCUCGGCCGCUCCUCCCCACUGCGAAGGCAUCCAAGGCAGAUGCGGAGCACCCCGGUGCGGCGGCGACCGCUCCUGGAUCUGGCUCCCCACGGUGUUGUCCCACUUGGCUGCUCCCCACGGCGAAGGGAUCCAAAGCAGAGGCUUCGCAGGCUCGGUGCAGAGCUUCCCCUCUCUCUCUCCAUUGCUACAUCCUUUCUUGACUACAUAUAAAAGAUGGAUAGAAGUUGGAUCCAUGGGAGAAAAUUCACACCAGCUUACACCAACGGUGUGAAAGAGUUCAUGGAAUUUGCUAAGGAAAGGUUUAUGGAACACAUCCCAAUAAGUUGCCCGUGUCGUCAUUGUCUUAACCAGAUUGAAACAAACUUGAUGCUCCAUUUUUGACAAAGGCAAAUUCGUCAUAAAUUCGUCACAAAAAUUUAUUUAUGUCGGAUUUGGCUUCUACUA